This 492-nucleotide ribosomal RNA is filed under the name uncultured bacterium. Its description in RNAcentral is "partial 16S ribosomal RNA". It matches the Rfam family "Bacterial small subunit ribosomal RNA", at positions 29 to 507 of the family's 1533-position model. The record is from RNAcentral.
AGUGAACGCUGGCGGUAGGCCUAACACAUGCAAGUCGAACGGCAGCACAGUAAGAGCUUGCUCUUACGGGUGGCGAGUGGCGGACGGGUGAGGAAUACAUCGGAAUCUACUUUUUCGUGGGGGAUAACGUAGGGAAACUUACGCUAAUACCGCAUACGACCUACGGGUGAAAGCAGGGGAUCUUCGGACCUUGCGCGAUUGAAUGAGCCGAUGUCGGAUUAGCUAGUUGGCGGGGUAAAGGCCCACCAAGGCGACGAUCCGUAGCUGGUCUGAGAGGAUGAUCAGCCGCACUGGAACUGAGACACGGUCCAGACUCCUACGGGAGGCAGCAGUGGGGAAUAUUGGACAAUGGGCGCAAGCCUGAUCCAGCCAUACCGCGUGGGUGAAGAAGGCCUUCGGGUUGUAAAGCCCUUUUGUUGGGAAAGAAAAGCAGCAGGUUAAUACCACGCUGUUCUGACGGUACCCAAAGAAUAAGCACCGGCUAACUUCGUG